GCCUAGAUAGUUCAGUUGGUUGGAGCGUGGUGCUUCUAAUACCCAGGUUGCAGGUUUGAUCUCUGUGCGGGGCA
Non-coding RNA from Podarcis lilfordi (Lilford's wall lizard), 74 nucleotides. Lineage: Eukaryota; Metazoa; Chordata; Lepidosauria; Squamata; Lacertidae. The record is from the annotation of a GenBank genome assembly.